GCGGAAGGCCGGAUGGCCGCGAGGGGUCAGACCCUUCGAGGAAAGUCCGGACUCCACAAAGCAACGGUGCCGGGUAACGCCCGGGCGGGGCAACCCGACGGAAAGCGCCACAGAAAUGAAACUACCUUGCUUGCAGGGUAAAGGUGAAACGGUGGGGUAAAAGCCCACCGCGCCGCUGGCAACAGCGGUGGCACGGCAAGCCCCACCAGGAGCAAUGCCAAAUAGGACCCCCGCGCGGGGCUGGUCCCGUUCGCGGGAUACCGCCCGCAAGGCCCGCUUUGGUCGGGAGGGGUCGGGUUGGCAGCUAAAGGCGUCUGGUAACAGGUGCCGUAGAGGAAUGGUCAUCGACGGGGGCAACCCCUGAACAAAAUCCGGCUUACAGGCCUUCCGCGCAU
The sequence is an RNase P RNA, 395 nucleotides long. It matches the Rfam family "Bacterial RNase P class A". From Rfam's summary of the family: Ribonuclease P (RNase P) is a ubiquitous endoribonuclease, found in archaea, bacteria and eukarya as well as chloroplasts and mitochondria. Its best characterised activity is the generation of mature 5'-ends of tRNAs by cleaving the 5'-leader elements of precursor-tRNAs.